CGAUGGGUNCUAGGUGUAGGAGGUAUCGACCCNUUCUGUGCCGGAGUUAACGCAAUAAGUACCCCGCCUGGGGAGUACGACCGCAAGGUUGAAACUCAAAGGAAUUGACGGGGGCCCGCACAAGCGGUGGAGUAUGUGGUUUAAUUCGACGCAACGCGAAGAACCUUACCAGGUCUUGACAUUGAUGGACAGAACCAGAGAUGGUUCCUCUUCUUCGGAAGCCAGAAAACAGGAGGUGCACGGUUGUCGUCAGCUCGUGUCGUGAGAUGUUGGGUUAAGUCCCGCAACGAGCGCAACCCCUAUCUUAUGUUGCCAGCACGUAAAGGUGGGAACUCAUGAGAGACUGCCGCAGACAAUGCGGAGGAAGGCGGGGAUGACGUCAAAUCAUCAUGCCCCUUAUGACCUGGGCUACACACGUACUACAAUGGGAGUUAAUAGACGGAAGCGAGAUCGCGAGAUGGAGCAAACCCGAGAAACACUCUCUCAGUUCGGAUCGUAGGCUGCAACUCGCCUACGUGAAGUCGGAAUCGCUAGUAAUCGCAGGUCAGCAUACUGCGGUGAAUACGUUCCCGGGCCUUGUAC
RNAcentral lists this ribosomal RNA (582 nucleotides) under uncultured bacterium. RNAcentral's name for it is "bacterial SSU rRNA". It matches the Rfam family "Bacterial small subunit ribosomal RNA", at positions 807 to 1386 of the family's 1533-position model. The record is from RNAcentral.